GCGUCGGUGGUGCAGCGGCUAGCACACGCUCCCGGAACGAGUGAGAUCUGGGUUCGAAUCCCUGCUGUCGCA
Non-coding RNA from Parelaphostrongylus tenuis, 72 nucleotides. The record is from the annotation of a GenBank genome assembly. NCBI's taxonomy places the organism in Eukaryota, Metazoa, Nematoda, Chromadorea, Rhabditida, Metastrongylidae.